GUUAGGUUGGGUGUGGAUCCAACUGCUGUUGAUGAUCCAACCCCAACAUUUCCUGGAGGAAAAAUUGCAGCUGAUUUAGCAUCAAGCCAAGGACAUAAAGGAAUAGCUGGGUUCUUGGCUGAAGCAUUUUUAACUGGUCACCUUUCCUCAUUAAAUAUCAAAGAAAAUGUGACAGAUACUGUUGAUGCAACCAUUUCAGCAGAAAAGGCUACUGAGACUGCAGCCCAAGUUGCCUUUCCAUUGAGUGGUGGAGCAGAUGAUCAGUUUUCCUUGAAAGAAUCUCUUGCUGCUGUCAGAAAAUCAACUAUUGCAGCAGCUCUUAUUCAAGCUGCGUACCGCUCUUAUUCUUUCCGUUAUAGACAAUUUCCUAAGAGCAG
RNAcentral lists this unclassified non-coding RNA (377 nucleotides) under Hevea brasiliensis (rubber tree). The record is from RNAcentral. Lineage: Eukaryota; Viridiplantae; Streptophyta; Magnoliopsida; Malpighiales; Euphorbiaceae.